ACAGGGCUCUGACCUAUGAAUUGACAGCCAGUGCUCUCGUGUCCCCUCUGGCUGCCAAUUCCAUAGGUCACAGGUAUGU
Molecule: microRNA precursor, 79 nt
Filed under: Odocoileus virginianus texanus
Lineage: Eukaryota; Metazoa; Chordata; Mammalia; Artiodactyla; Cervidae
Also listed under: 7 other names
Description: mir-192/215 microRNA precursor family
Rfam family: mir-192/215 microRNA precursor family
About the family: This family represents the human microRNA (miRNA) precursors mir-192 and mir-215. Animal miRNAs are transcribed as ~70nt precursors and subsequently processed by the Dicer enzyme to give a ~22nt product.
Source: Rfam by way of RNAcentral